AGUGAACGCUGGCGGUAGGCCUAACACAUGCAAGUCGAACGGCAGCACAGUAAGAGCUUGCUCUUACGGGUGGCGAGUGGCGGACGGGUGAGGAAUACAUCGGAAUCUACUUUUUCGUGGGGGAUAACGUAGGGAAACUUACGCUAAUACCGCAUACGACCUACGGGUGAAAGCAGGGGAUCUUCGGACCUUGCGCGAUUGAAUGGGCCGAUGUCGGAUUAGCUAGUUGGCGGGGUAAAGGCCCACCAAGGCGACGAUCCGUAGCUGGUCUGAGAGGAUGAUCAGCCACACUGGAACUGAGACACGGUCCAGACUCCUACGGGAGGCAGCAGUGGGGAAUAUUGGACAAUGGGCGCAAGCCUGAUCCAGCCAUACCGCGUGGGUGAAGAAGGCCUUCGGGUUGUAAAGCCCUUUGUUGGGAAAGAAAAGCAGCAGGUUAAUACCCCGCUGUUCUGACGGUACCCAAAGAAUAAGCACCGGCUAACUUCGUG
Molecule: ribosomal RNA, 491 nt
Filed under: uncultured bacterium
Lineage: Bacteria
Description: partial 16S ribosomal RNA
Rfam family: Bacterial small subunit ribosomal RNA
Source: RNAcentral